GCAAUACACGAGUGGCGCACGGGUGAGUAACGCGUGGAUAUCUGCCUUUUGGUUCGGAAUAACCCCGGGAAACUGGGGCUAAUACCGAAUGGUUCCUACGGGAUAAAGAUUUAUCGCCAAAAGAUGAGUCCGCGUACGAUUAGCUAGUUGGUGAGGUAAUGGCUCACCAAGGCGACGAUCGUUAGCUGGUCUGAGAGGACGAUCAGCCACACUGGGACUGAGACACGGCCCAGACUCCUACGGGAGGCAGCAGUGGGGAAUAUUGGACAAUGGGGGCAACCCUGAUCCAGCCAUGCCGCGUGAGUGAUGAAGGCCUUCGGGUUGUAAAGCUCUUUUGGCGGGGACGAUGAUGACGGUACCCGCAGAAUAAGCCCCGGCUAACUUCGUGCCAGCAGCCGCGGUAAGACGAAGGGGGCUAGCGUUGUUCGGAAUUACUGGGCGUAAAGCGAGUGUAGGCGGUUGUCCAAGUUGGAUGUGAAAGCCUUGAGCUUAACUCAAGAAAUGCAUUCAGGACUGGAUGACUAGAGUGCCGGAGAGGAUAGUGGAAUUCCCAGUGUAGUGGUGAAAUACGUAGAGAUUGGGAAGAACACCAGUGGCGAAGGCGGCUAUCUGGACGGUUACUGACGCUA
Molecule: ribosomal RNA, 629 nt
Filed under: Reyranella sp.
Lineage: Bacteria; Pseudomonadati; Pseudomonadota; Alphaproteobacteria; Hyphomicrobiales; Reyranellaceae
Description: bacterial SSU rRNA
Rfam family: Bacterial small subunit ribosomal RNA
Source: RNAcentral